RNAcentral lists this ribosomal RNA (926 nucleotides) under uncultured bacterium. RNAcentral's name for it is "bacterial SSU rRNA". It matches the Rfam family "Bacterial small subunit ribosomal RNA", at positions 1 to 928 of the family's 1533-position model. The record is from RNAcentral.
GAAUUCGCCCUUAGAGUUUGAUCCUGGCUCAGGACGAACGCUGGCGGCGUGCCUAACACAUGCAAGUCGAACGCCCUUUCCGCGAGGGGAGGGAGUGGCGGACGGGUGAGGAACACGUGGGUAACCUGCCCUGCAGUGGGGGGUACCGGUGCGAAAGCGCCGACAAUCCCGCAUGCGCUCUGGGAGCGGGAGCGAGCAGAGGAAAGCUUGAGGCUGGAGGGCCUUGGGCGCUGCAGGAGGGGCCUGCGUCCGAUUAGCUGGUUGGUGGGGUAAGAGCCUACCAAGGCGACGAUCGGUAGCUGGUCUGAGAGGACGGCCAGCCACACUGGGAUUGAGAGACGGCCCAGACUCCUACGGGGGGCAGCAGUGAGGGAUCUUCGGCAAUGGGCGCAAGCCUGACCGAGCGACGCCGCGUGCAGGAAGAAGGCCUUCGGGUUGUAAACUGCUUUUCUGGGGGAAGAGUGAGGACGGUACCCCAGGAAGAAGCCCCGGCAAACUACGUGCCAGCAGCCGCGGUAAGACGUAGGGGGCGAGCGUUGUCCGGAGUUACUGGGCGUAAAGGGCCUGUAGGCGGUCGGGCAGGUUCCGGCUGACAGCCCGUGGCUUCACUGCGGGAGAGGCAGGAAGACGGUCCGACUUGAGGGCCACAGAGGGACAUGGAAUUCCCGGUGGAGCGGUGAAAUGCGUAGAGAUCGGGAAGAACACCGAAGGCGAAGGCAGUGUCCUGGGUGGUACCUGACGCUGAGAGGCGAAAGCUAGGGGAGCGAACGGGAUUAGAUACCCCGGUAGUCCUAGCCGUAAACGAUGACCACUAGGUGUGUGGGGAGAUCGACCCCCUGCGCGCCGAAGCGAACGCAGUAAGUGGUCCGCCUGGGGAGUACGGCCGCAAGGCUCAAACUCAAAGGAAUUGACGGAAGGGCGAAUUC